CAAAGAAAACAGAGCGCUUCCCUAGCUCACUCUCCCUCUCUCCCUCACUUCCUGCUGGGGAAGAUGGUUUACUCCCUCCCCUGCCCUGGCUCAGGACCUGGCCUUGGUGUCAAGUUUCUCCAGAGCUUCCAGAAUCAGAGGCCCUGCAUGCACUCAAGCUUGUCCAGAUGUGUAGAAGGAGGGGCCAUCACUCAAAUGAAGCUACUCUGGAAGAAGACCUAGUUUGACAGGACUUCCAUUGGAGGUGAAAAUAUCACACCAACUGACUGUGAUGCCUUAGCUUCAGAGAAGAAAAAUAAUCAUCCUUGUUUAAAAAGUCCAUCAGUUCUCCCUCUCCCUCUCCCUCGAUGAGGAAACUGAGGACCAGAGAAAACAACUAGUUUUCCAG
RNAcentral lists this long non-coding RNA (388 nucleotides) under Homo sapiens (human). RNAcentral's name for it is "HSALNT0030670". The record is from RNAcentral. Lineage: Eukaryota; Metazoa; Chordata; Mammalia; Primates; Hominidae.